RNAcentral lists this ribosomal RNA (302 nucleotides) under uncultured bacterium. Its description in RNAcentral is "partial 16S ribosomal RNA". It matches the Rfam family "Bacterial small subunit ribosomal RNA", at positions 508 to 809 of the family's 1533-position model. The record is from RNAcentral.
GCAGCAGCCACGGUAAUACGAAGGGUGCAAGCGUUAAUCGGAAUUACUGGGCGUAAAGGGUGCGUAGGCGGGUCUUUAAGUCAGGGGUGAAAUCCUGGAGCUCAACUCCAGAACUGCCUUUGAUACUGAAGAUCUUGAGUUCGGGAGAGGUGAGUGGAACUGCGAGUGUAGAGGUGAAAUUCGUAGAUAUUCGCAAGAACACCAGUGGCGAAGGCGGCUCGCUGGCCCGAUACUGACGCUGAGGCACGAAAGCGUGGGGAGCAAACAGGAUUAGAUACCCCCGUAGUCCCUGUCUCUUAUCA